RNAcentral lists this ribosomal RNA (380 nucleotides) under uncultured eukaryote. RNAcentral describes it as "partial 18S ribosomal RNA". It matches the Rfam family "Eukaryotic small subunit ribosomal RNA", at positions 592 to 976 of the family's 1831-position model. The record is from RNAcentral.
CAAUAGCGUAUAUUAAAGUUGUUGCAGUUAGAACGCUCGUAGUCGGAUUUCGGGGCGGGCCGACCGGUCUGCCGAUGGGUACGCACUGGUCGGCGCGUCCUUCCUUCCGGAGACCGCCUCUGUUCUUAACUGAAUGGGUGCGGGAGACGGAUCGUUUACUUUGAAAAAAUCAGAGUGUUUCAAGCAGGCAGCUCGCUCUUGCAUGGAUUAGCAUGGGAUAAUGAAAUAGGACUUUGGUGCUAUUUUGUUGGUUUCGAACACCGAAGUAAUGAUUAAAAGGGACAGUCAGGGGCACUCGUAUUCCGCCGAGAGAGGUGAAAUUCUCAGACCAGCGGAAGACGAACCACUGCGAAAGCAUUUGCCAGGGAUGUUUUCACUGA